This 105-nucleotide transfer RNA is filed under the name Caudoviricetes sp. RNAcentral describes it as "tRNA-OTHER". It matches the Rfam family "tRNA". From Rfam's summary of the family: Transfer RNA (tRNA) molecules are approximately 80 nucleotides in length. Their secondary structure includes four short double-helical elements and three loops (D, anti-codon, and T loops). The record is from RNAcentral. Lineage: Duplodnaviria; Heunggongvirae; Uroviricota; Caudoviricetes.
GGUGUUGUGCUCGAGUGGGCAAUGAGGGCAGGUUUUAGCAGAUUUUUCCUGCCGGAGGUUAUCCCUUUUCCUCCUACAUGGGUUCGAAUCCUAUCAACACCUCCA